UACGGAGGGUGCGAGCGUUGUCCGGAAUCACUGGGCGUAAAGGGCGCGUAGGCGGCUUGUCGCGUCGACUGUGAAAACCCGCGGCUCAACUGCGGGCCUGCAGCCGAUACGGGCAGGCUAGAGUUCGGUAGGGGAGACUGGAAUUCCUGGUGUAGCGGUGAAAUGCGCAGAUAUCAGGAGGAACACCGAUGGCGAAGGCAGGUCUCUGGGCCGACACUGACGCUCAUGCACGAAAGCGUGGGGAGCAAACAGG
This 253-nucleotide ribosomal RNA is filed under the name uncultured bacterium. RNAcentral describes it as "partial 16S ribosomal RNA". It matches the Rfam family "Bacterial small subunit ribosomal RNA", at positions 524 to 776 of the family's 1533-position model. The record is from RNAcentral.